GAUUAAGUGUCGUAAGGGCAUUUGGUGGAUGCCUUGGCAUGCACAGGCGAUGAAGGACGUGAUACGCUGCGAAAAGCCGUGGGGAGC
RNAcentral lists this ribosomal RNA (87 nucleotides) under Rhizobium laguerreae. RNAcentral's name for it is "partial 23S ribosomal RNA". It matches the Rfam family "Bacterial large subunit ribosomal RNA", at positions 1 to 86 of the family's 2925-position model. The record is from RNAcentral. Lineage: Bacteria; Pseudomonadati; Pseudomonadota; Alphaproteobacteria; Hyphomicrobiales; Rhizobiaceae.